AGGGGUAUAUGUCUUCGGAUAUAGAGACCGGCGCACGGGUGCGUAACGCGUAUGCAAUCUACCUUUUACAGAGGGAUAGCCCAGAGAAAUUUGGAUUAAUACCUCAUAGUAUAGCUCUACCGCAUGGUAGUACUAUUAAAGUCACAACGGUAAAAGAUGAGCAUGCGUCCCAUUAGCUAGUUGGUAAGGUAACGGCUUACCAAGGCAACGAUGGGUAGGGGUCCUGAGAGGGAGAUCCCCCACACUGGUACUGAGACACGGACCAGACUCCUACGGGAGGCAGCAGUGAGGAAUAUUGGACAAUGGGCGCAAGCCUGAUCCAGCCAUGCCGCGUGCAGGAUGACGGUCCUAUGGAUUGUAAACUGCUUUUGUACGAGAAGAAACACUGCUUCGUGAAGCAGCUUGACGGUAUCGUAAGAAUAAGGAUCGGCUAACUCCGUGCCAGCAGCCGCGGUAAUACGGAGGAUCCAAGCGUUAUCCGGAAUCAUUGGGUUUAAAGGGUCCGUAGGCGGUUUAGUAAGUCAGUGGUGAAAGCCCAUCGCUCAACGGUGGAACGGCCAUUGAUACUGCUGAACUUGAAUUAUUAGGAAGUAACUAGAAUAUGUAGUGUAGCGGUGAAAUGCUUAGAGAUUACAUGGAAUACCAAUUGCGAAGGGCAGGUUACUACUAAUUGAUUGACGCUGAUGG
Molecule: ribosomal RNA, 687 nt
Filed under: Flavobacterium sp. T23.08.P.RBT.MI.H.Gill.M
Lineage: Bacteria; Pseudomonadati; Bacteroidota; Flavobacteriia; Flavobacteriales; Flavobacteriaceae
Description: bacterial SSU rRNA
Rfam family: Bacterial small subunit ribosomal RNA
Source: RNAcentral